CCAGACUCCUACGGGAGGCAGCAGUGGGGGAUAUUGCACAAUGGGGGGAACCCUGAUGCAGCGACGCCGCGUGGGUGAAGAAGCGCCUCGGCGCGUAAAGCCCUGUCAGCAGGGAAGAAAAUGACGGUACCUGCAAAGGAAGCACCGGCUAACUCCGUGCCAGCAGCCGCGGUAAUACGGAGGGUGCGAGCGUUAUCCGGAUUUAUUGGGUUUAAAGGGUGCGCAGGCGGGAGAUCAAGUCAGCGGUAAAAUGUCGGGGCUCAACCCCGGCCGGCCGUUGAAACUGGUUUUCUAGAGUUGGAGAGAAGUAUGCGGAAUGCGUGGUGUAGCGGUGAAAUGCAUAGAUAUCACGCAGAACUCCGAUUGCGAAGGCAGCAUACCGGCGCCCAACUGACGCUGAAGCACGAAAGCGUGGGUAUCGAACAGGAUUAGAUACCCCUGUACAA
Molecule: ribosomal RNA, 446 nt
Filed under: uncultured bacterium
Lineage: Bacteria
Description: bacterial SSU rRNA
Rfam family: Bacterial small subunit ribosomal RNA
Source: RNAcentral